GAGCCACGGGCUCCACUAAAAAUGUGGCAGUGUGAGAGGCGAGAACAAAAACCGCAGACAGGAAAAGGCACUGGCGAGAAAUCCAAGCUGAUAUGAAGAAAAGAUGAAAACAGCCUCCUGAGGGUCAAGGUGAGACUGACCAACACCUGAUUGCUGGUAUUCACCAGUAGUAAUAAAUCCCUGAUCACAGGUGCUGGAAGUCUCUUCAGAGAAACAAUAUUGCUGCAGGGGACAAACAACUAGUCCUGAUCUUUACACAGCCAUUCUCUGGGAAAAAGUAUCCCCUGAAGUCAAUGUGGAUUCUGCCUAGCUUUCAUCAGAAGGA
This 325-nucleotide long non-coding RNA is filed under the name Lonchura striata (white-rumped munia). RNAcentral describes it as "domestica (Bengalese finch) lncRNA (ENSLSDG00000001936.1)". Lineage: Eukaryota; Metazoa; Chordata; Aves; Passeriformes; Estrildidae. The record is from RNAcentral.